Long non-coding RNA from Panthera uncia (snow leopard), 462 nucleotides. RefSeq lists it as uncharacterized. The transcript is spliced from 3 exons. The record is from RefSeq and is a predicted model, not a curated record. NCBI's taxonomy places the organism in Eukaryota, Metazoa, Chordata, Mammalia, Carnivora, Felidae.
AUUUUUCCCUCACUUCUCAUUGGGCAGAACUGGGUCACAUGCUAACUCCUCAACCAAUUAUCCGCAAGAGAAUCGUACGGCCGGGAUUAGCUUGAACCAAUCAUCUGCCGUGCGGGGGCUGAUGGGAAGCCAACCACCUACCCUAAAAAAGAUACGUGGAAGGAGGAUCUGCCGCGCUAAACGGCCAGCACAGUGGACCUUCUGCUUCCUUCAGCUUUGAACCCCCAGCUCAGGACCCUGAAGACACUCAGCAAUUAGGGAGUGGGCUGGGUGACCUCAGGCAAGUGACAAGUCUGUUUUUGCCUCCAGACCUGUUUUUCCAUCUGUACAACGAGGAUAGUAUAAGCACCCGCCCAUUGAGAUUGCUGCACUGAAAGUUCAAUACCUGCCUUCCCUUGUGGAGAACACAUUGGCAGGACCAUACUAGGUGCUCAAUAAACAUUUGUUGCACAUAUCAAUACA